CGCCGUGGGAAUUUUCUCCGGGAGGUGGCGCGGCCGCUUGGCUCCGGAAAGAAAGUCCGCGGAUCGUCAGAUGGAGACCCGAGGCGACGGAGAAGCCCGAGCUCGCUCGGUUCUGCCGAAGACUCGCUUUGCACGGACGGCCCCUGGCUGCCUGCCGCAGGGAAGCGAAGGCCAACAGAACGGCGUGGAGCCGAUCAGAUCGCGCCGAGGCCGGGGAAACUGAGGCAGCCGCGGGUGCAGAGCGAGGCCAGGUCCUGACGAGUGUUUCCCUUCUUCUCUUCUCUCCGUCUUCUUUCUCCAUGGGGGUGGUGGGCUCAGUUGCACGGCUCGCUGCCCGUGUAUCCGCUAAUGGAUCAAGUGUACUUAGCACUAGCCGCAGCUGUUGGUGAGGUGUGGAAGCGUCCGCCCCUGGUGCCGGGAGCACAGACAGACACACAGAUCUGGGUCCCGGCCGCGCUCGAGUCCUCCGGAUUCCGCGGGCACCUGCCCUCAAGCGCGCAGCAGCCCCACUCGGGGCUACCCACGCCUGCAGAGAAGGAGAGAGGUGUCAAGCCCCAAAGUCCCUUGAGCAACUGGCGGAAACGGUACAGCACGGCCGGAACCUAGAUCUGUCUGUCUGUCUGUGCUCCUGGCACCAGGGAUGUACGCUUCCACACUUCACAAACAGCUGCGGUUUGUGCUAAGGACACUUUAUUAGAGUAUAGAUAGGUGGCAGUUACACCAGUCUGCACACGCUGAGCUCCCUAUAUGUUCUGUAUGCUAUAGAAAAUGAUCUACCAUAGCUGGGGUACUGGCUAGCAGGUGCGUUCCUUUCCAACGUCAGCUGGAGAAUUAAAAAGCAGAAGGACACAAAGUAAAAGUGAAAUUCAUUGGCGAUCGAUACAGGUAUCUGAGGGAGGGGGACCCCCCUCCCCCUCCCCCCCNNNNNNNNNNNNNNNNNNNNNNNNNNNNNNNNNNNNNNNNNNNNNNNNNNNCAUUGCUUUAACGGUGUUUAUGUGCCCCUUCUGGAAGCAGGCCUCUUUCUUGGUCCACUGGCACAAAAAUACCCAAAUUGUUGAUUGGCUGAGGUAAGAGUGGAUACCCCAGUGUUCUCUCCUUUUUGUGGUGUGACAGCUACAGAGAGGCCCACAAUAUAUGACGGAAUGUGGUAUAUGUUUCAGAGAAAUGGACACUUGCUGCUGGGUGCCUACCCCACCAAUAAAUGGAAACUCACUAUUUUUGGAGGCUAAAUAAAUAAAUAAAAU
This 1244-nucleotide long non-coding RNA is filed under the name Cricetulus griseus (Chinese hamster). Its description in RNAcentral is "lncRNA (ENSCGRG00000025228.1)". Lineage: Eukaryota; Metazoa; Chordata; Mammalia; Rodentia; Cricetidae. The record is from RNAcentral.